AACGGACGCUGGCGGCAUGCCUAACACAUGCAAGUCGAACGAGACCUUCGGGUCUAGUGGCGCACGGGUGCGUAACGCGUGGGAAUCUGCCCUUGGGUUCGGAAUAACAGUUGGAAACGACUGCUAAUACCGGAUGAUGACGUAAGUCCAAAGAUUUAUCGCCCAGGGAUGAGCCCGCGUAGGAUUAGCUAGUUGGUGGGGUAAAGGCCUACCAAGGCGACGAUCCUUAGCUGGUCUGAGAGGAUGAUCAGCCACACUGGGACUGAGACACGGCCCAGACUCCUACGGGAGGCAGCAGUGGGGAAUAUUGGACAAUGGGCGAAAGCCUGAUCCAGCAAUGCCGCGUGAGUGAUGAAGGCCUUAGGGUUGUAAAGCUCUUUUACCCGGGAUGAUAAUGACAGUACCGGGAGAAUAAGCCCCGGCUAACUCCGUG
Molecule: ribosomal RNA, 433 nt
Filed under: uncultured bacterium
Lineage: Bacteria
Description: partial 16S ribosomal RNA
Rfam family: Bacterial small subunit ribosomal RNA
Source: RNAcentral